Molecule: long non-coding RNA, 1205 nt
Organism: Alexandromys fortis (reed vole)
Lineage: Eukaryota; Metazoa; Chordata; Mammalia; Rodentia; Cricetidae
Exons: 3
Source: RefSeq, a predicted model, not a curated record
ACCAGUGUGUCUGUCUGUCAUUCCCUUGCGUCGUAUCCUGGCUAUCCUAUCCUUCAACCCUGUCCUCCCGUGGAUAGCAGUCUCACAGAGGGACGGUCUGUGGCACAUGGCCUUGGGGUUUAGGGUUACCCUGAGGCAGCAUGACAUCAUUUUUUCCUUCUCUGGUUUUAUUUAUUUAUAGUGUGGCUCUGCCUGGUAUUACAGAGCAUUUGUCUGUGGGUCUCUGAAGAGAUGUGGAAACAGAAUUAUGGGGCCAUUCCUGGAGUUUCUCGCUGCAAUUUUGCCUUUUUCCCCAUUUCUAGCAAAUUUUCCUGUGCCCGACUUUGAGAAGCGAGAGGCUGACCAACCUAAGACAGCUCCUGGGAAGAAACAGGGCAGCAGUGAACACACAAACUUUGAGCUCUCAUGGGGACUCACUAGAACUCGUAUGGUGAAAUUGCAUUUCAUUGCCACCAAUGUCAGUCUCUAGCCACACCGGAGGAAGAGAACAGGAGAGUAUGAACCGAAAGAAAAACCACAACGUCUGCGGAACUGGCUCCCCUUCUCGCCAGUUAAUGAAGGUGAAACAAGGUUCCUCUCCACCGUCCUGGGGGAGCAGAAUGCGGCCCAGCCACCAGUGGCGCUUAUCUGAAGACUCCAGACUCCAGCACCCUUUACAACCGUGAGGCUGCAUGGGUUCAACCUCACAAACUGAUUCAACUGGCUAGUCUGAAAAAAACCUGAUGCACAGGAAAUGAAGGAGGCAGGGGGAGAUGGGCUCACUGCCCCAGGUCAACAAAUUCCUGGAAUAGAGCCCUGGGCCUUGGAACCUUCAUCUGGUGAUGGAUGGAGAUAGAGACAGAGACUCACACUGGAGCACUGGACCCAAUGAGGAGCAGAUGGAGGGAGAACACGAGCAAGGAUGUCAGGACCUCGAGGGGUGCACCCACCCACUGAGACAGUGGGGCUGAUCUAUUGGGAGCUCACCAAGGCCAGCUGGACUGUGACUGAAAAAGCAUGGAAUAAAACCGGACUCUCUGAACAUGGCGAACAAUGAGGGCUGAUGAGAAGCCAAGGACAAUGGCACGGGGUUUUGAUCCUACUUCAUGUUCCGGCUGGGUGGGAACCUAGCCAGUUUGGAUGUUCACCUUCCUAGACAUGGACAGAGGGGGGAGGACCUUGGACUUUCCACAGGGCAGGGAACCCUGACUGCUCUUUGGACUGGA